AGUGUUGAAUUGAGGUGAAAUUUGAUGUUGAAGGGUGUCGAGUUGGGAUGAGGGAUGUGUACGCAGUUGAUAAACCACUUGAGGUCCUGCUGGCAGGGAUCGCCGGAUCGGUACGCAAAAUCCGGCUCCGAUGUGGUCGGCCGGCAGGAUGGGCUACUGUGGUACAAGGAUGUCGGGCAGCACAUGUAUGGGGAGUUCUCGAUGGCCGUUGUCCAGGCAAACAAUUUGCUCGAGGAUCAGAGUCAGAUUGAGUCUGGAUCUUUGAGUUUGGAUGAGUCGGGGCCGUAUGGGACUUUCGUAGGAGUCUAUGAUGGGCAUGGUGGUCCGGAGACUUCGCGGUACAUCAAUGAUCAUCUCUUCGAUCAUAUUAAGAGAUUUACGUCUGAGCAACAAGCGAUGUCAGCUGAAGUGAUUCGGAAGGCAUUCCAGGCGACGGAGGAUGGAUUCUUCUCCGUGGUCGCCAAGCAAUGGCAUUGGAAACCUCAAAUUGCAGCAGUCGGCUCUUGCUGUCUAGUUGGCAUAAUCUGUGGUGGGAAUCUUUAUGUUGCUAAUGCUGGAGAUUCCCGGGUUGUCUUAGGGAGACUUGUCAGGGCUACCGGGGAGGUUUUGGCUAUUCAAAUGUCAGCAGAGCAUAAUGCGAGUAUCGAGUCGGUAAGACGAGAGUUGGAGUUAUUGCACCCGGAUGAUUCACAAAUUGUUGUUUUGAAACACAAUGUGUGGCGUGUAAAGGGCAUCAUUCAGAUUUCUAGGUCAAUAGGUGACAUAUAUCUUAAAAAGGCAGAAUAUAACAGGGAGCCCUUGUAUGCGAAGUUUCGCCUGCGAGAACCUUUCAAAAGGCCUAUACUUAGUUCUGUGCCAUCAAUUAAAGUUCAACCACUAGAGCCACAUGAUCAGUUUCUCAUAUUUG
RNAcentral lists this unclassified non-coding RNA (907 nucleotides) under Hevea brasiliensis (rubber tree). Lineage: Eukaryota; Viridiplantae; Streptophyta; Magnoliopsida; Malpighiales; Euphorbiaceae. The record is from RNAcentral.